This 174-nucleotide ribosomal RNA is filed under the name uncultured bacterium. RNAcentral's name for it is "partial 16S ribosomal RNA". It matches the Rfam family "Bacterial small subunit ribosomal RNA", at positions 1319 to 1500 of the family's 1533-position model. The record is from RNAcentral.
CAUGAAGCUGGAUUCGCUAGUAAUCGCGCAUCAGCCACGGCGCGGUGAAUACGUUCCCGGGCCUUGUACACACCGCCCGUCAAGCCAUGGAAGCCGGGGGUGCCUGAAGUGCGCUGCCGCAAGGAGCGCCCUAGGGUAAAACCGGUGACUGGGGCUAAGUCGUAACAAGGUAAC